AGUGAACGCUGGCGGUAGGCCUAACACAUGCAAGUCGAACGGCAGCACAGUAAGAGCUUGCCCUUACGGGUGGCGAGUGGCGGACGGGUGAGGAAUACAUCGGAAUCUACUUUUUCGUGGGGGAUAACGUAGGGAAACUUACGCUAAUACCGCAUACGACCUACGGGUGAAAGCAGGGGAUCUUCGGACCUUGCGCGAUUGAAUGAGCCGAUGUCGGAUUAGCUAGUUGGCGGGGUAAAGGCCCACCAAGGCGACGAUCCGUAGCUGGUCUGAGAGGCUGAUGAGCGACACUGGAACUGAGACACGGUCCAGACUCCUACGGGAGGCAGCAGUGGGGAAUAGUGGACAAUGGGCGCAAGCCUGAUCCAGCCAUACCGCGUGGGUGAAGAAGGCCUUCGGGUUGUAAAGCCCUUUUGUUGGGAAAGAAAAGCAGCAGGUUAAAACCCCGCUGUUGUGACGGUACCCAAAGAAUAAGCACCGGCUAACUUCGUG
RNAcentral lists this ribosomal RNA (492 nucleotides) under uncultured bacterium. Its description in RNAcentral is "partial 16S ribosomal RNA". It matches the Rfam family "Bacterial small subunit ribosomal RNA", at positions 29 to 507 of the family's 1533-position model. The record is from RNAcentral.